Long non-coding RNA from Salvia miltiorrhiza (redroot sage), 890 nucleotides. RefSeq lists it as uncharacterized. NCBI's taxonomy places the organism in Eukaryota, Viridiplantae, Streptophyta, Magnoliopsida, Lamiales, Lamiaceae. The record is from RefSeq and is a predicted model, not a curated record. The transcript has 4 exons.
GGUUCCUGCAGGGUCAUUGGGCCUGAAAUGCCAUCCGCUGACCUACUUGCUGCAGCAGCCAAGCUAACAGAAGCUGAAGCAGAACUAAGAGAGGCUGAGUUGGAUGGAGACGACGAUCUAUUUAUAGGACCUCCACCUCCUGCUGUUGUUAAAGAAGCUGAGUCUACAAAUGAAGCUGAGCGUUUUGAGGAGAUUACAAGAAUAAUUGGUGCCGAGGCAGAUAGUCCAUAUGCUGGGUACUAAAGGUGGAACUGCAGUGCUUAGUAAUUGCUUUCUCUUCACUUGGCCAUUCUUGCAUCUUUUCCUGCUCUAUUGACUUGUAUACAUUAUUUUUUUCUGGAUGAAGUUGUUUGCUGAUAUUUUAUUGUUUAGGUAUUGGAAGUUGUCUCUAAUGGUUCAUCCUGACAAAUCUUCUCAUCCUCAAGCUCACCAAGCUUUUGUUAAGUUGAAUAAAGCAUUUAAAGAUUUACAGGAUAAUAGACAGCAGAUAACCAGAAAAGGCAACAUCCAUUAAUGGCGUCAAUGCAGAAACAUUAUACUACUCGUGGGAAUCAUGUCGCAAUGUUUUCGCCUCUUUUUUGGGGGCCACAGCAGAUAAGUAGAACUGCAGAAGCAUUGCUCAAAAACAUGUUCAAAUUCUCCGAGGCUUGCUGAAGAAGUUGCAGUCAUCUUUUGAGGUGCAUUGGAUGGGUCUGCUGACUAACAGAGUGGAGAGGCAUGAAAUCAAACCCGGGGAUCAUAUCUACACUUACAGAGCAGUCUUCGCUUACUCUCAUCACGGUAUCUUUGUUGGGGGUAGCAAAGUAGUUCAUUUCACCCGUGUUGGAAACAUUUCCAGCUCGGACUCUGAAGUAUACGACGAAGCUGAAGAAUGCCCGACCUUUCCUGAC